GGGUCAGUAGGUUGGUCGUGCCACCGGUACGUACUGGUCUCACUGAUUCCUCCUUCCUGAAGAACCGUAAUGCCAUUAAUUUGGCGUUGCGGGAAACAGGACUGUUACUUUGAAAAAAUUAGAGUGUUUAAAGCAAGCUAACGCUUGAAUAAAUUAGCAUGGAAUAAUGAAAUAGGACGAUCGAUCCUAUUUUGUUGGUUUCUAGGAUUGACGUA
Molecule: ribosomal RNA, 215 nt
Filed under: Glomeromycotina sp.
Lineage: Eukaryota; Fungi; Glomeromycota
Description: partial small subunit ribosomal RNA
Rfam family: Eukaryotic small subunit ribosomal RNA (bases 87-215)
Source: RNAcentral